GACAGCAGUCGCCGCGGGAAUACGUAGGUGGCAAGCGUUGUCCGGAAUUAUUGGGCGUAAAGGGCUCGCAGGCGGUUUCUUAAGUCUGAUGUGAAAGCCCCCGGCUCAGCCGGGGAGGGUCAUUGGAAACUGGGAAACUUGAGUGCAGAAGAGGAGAGCGGAAUUCCACGUGUAGCGGUGAAAUGCGUAGAGAUGUGGAGGAACACCAGUGGCGAAGGCGACUCUCUGGUCUGUAACUGACGCUGAGGAGCGAAAGCGUGGGGAGCAAACCGGAUUAGAGACCCCCGUAGUCCCUGUCUCUUAUAC
Molecule: ribosomal RNA, 306 nt
Filed under: uncultured bacterium
Lineage: Bacteria
Description: partial 16S ribosomal RNA
Rfam family: Bacterial small subunit ribosomal RNA
Source: RNAcentral